AUGAACUGGAGCUGUAGAGUCCUUUACACGGUGGCAGUGGCUACAGGUGUCCACUCCCAGGUACAGCUGGUGCAACCUGAGGCUGAGGUGAGGAAUCCUGGGGCUUCAGUGAAGGUCUCCUGCAAGGCUUCUGGAUACACCUUCACCAGCUACAACAUGCACUGGGUGAGACAAGGCCCAGGUCAAGGACUUGAGUGGAUGGGGUAUGUUAACCAUUACACUGGUGGUACCGGAUAUGCACAGAAGUUCCAAGGCAGACUCACCAUAACCACAGACAAGUCUGAGAGCACAGCCUACAUGAAGCUGAGCAGCCUGAGAGCCGAGGACUUAGCUGUGUAUUACUGUGUGAGACACACAGUGAGGGGAACUCAGUGUGAACCUUGA
This is a non-coding RNA of Artibeus jamaicensis (Jamaican fruit-eating bat), 384 nucleotides long. Lineage: Eukaryota; Metazoa; Chordata; Mammalia; Chiroptera; Phyllostomidae. The record is from the annotation of a RefSeq genome assembly.